Molecule: long non-coding RNA, 1038 nt
Organism: Clupea harengus (Atlantic herring)
Lineage: Eukaryota; Metazoa; Chordata; Actinopteri; Clupeiformes; Clupeidae
Source: Ensembl
CAGAUCUUGGCCCUGGUGGCGGUGUACUACCUCCACGAAGGACUUCCCAAUCACUGCAGGAAGGCAUGGAAAUCCCCAUCACCUCCCAAUGUCUGUGAGUAGGACCACUGCAGAUGGGCCUACACUGUACAAAAAUAAAACUACGAAGAAAGUUGGUCGACACACGGGGGUUUCAACGGGGCUCCUCGAAGAUCUCUGCACAUGGAUCUCCCGCCUGGAAGUUUACAAAUUUGACGACGUUAAAGCCUGGAAAAUUUGCAUGUUCUCCCCGUGUUCACAAGGGGUUUCCUCCAAAAAUAACCCCAACAGAAAAAACAUGCAAAAACAGAACAUUCUCCUGUCCGUCCGUGACCGAGACGGACGGUUCACUUGGUCCCCGGGCGCUGAGAAGCUGCCCACUGCUCCUGGGGGCCAACAUAUGAUGAUUGCAUAUGAAAUUGGAUAAGUUAUCUGCAUGGAUGAUCAAACUCUGGCACCAGAUGAAGAGGAUCAGGAUAUGUUUGAGGUAAUGGCAUGAUCUGGUCUGAUCUUGCACCCACAAAUUCUCAAAGAUACUGUCAGUGUAUUGGUUAGAAGUGUAGAAAAGAGGAUAUGCAUACUUUCACUGUUUGUGUUUGUAGGAUUCCAGUGCUGAGUCAACAAGAGCCAGUAGUGCAGGGACAGGCGCAACUGGAGACAUUUUGCAUCUCAGGGUCAACAGCGAGUCAACUCCAAGUCAACUGCAGUCAGGGUCAGCUGCAGCUGGGGCAGCGAUAGGUCAGAAUUUGACACCGGAGAGUGUGCAGUGGAGGGAAAUAAGAAGUCUCACAUGUCCAAUAGUGGAACUUCUUCCAGAGCAUCACACAAUCCCACUAUGCCCUCUUGUAAGCAUUUUGUUUUCUAACCAGAUAUUUUCUUUUCACAUGUCAUUUAUGGAAAGAUGAACAUCUCAUGUAUAAAGGGAAGGGACCACUGUUCCUCAAAACAAAAUGUUCAACCCAUAGGCCCGUUUGAGGUCACUAAAAGCUGCAUGUAGAACAAAGAGCAGGACAAUUUGGU